GAUCAUGGCGUCAGGAGUGAACGCUGGCGGCGUGCUUAACACAUGCGAGUCGAACGCUGAAGCUCCCAGCUUGCUGGGGUGGAUGAGUGGCAAACGGGUGAGUAUCACGUGAGUAACCUGCCCUUGACUCUGGGAUAAGCCCGGGAAACUGGGUCUAAUACUGGAUAGGACUGGCCAUCGCAUGGUGGUUGGUUGAAAGCUUUUGCGGUUUUGGAUGGACUCGCGGCCUAUCAGCUUGUUGGUGGGGUAAUGGCCUACCAAGGCUUUGACGGGUAGCCGGCCUGAGAGGGUGACCGGCCACACUGGGACUGAGACACGGCCCAGACUCCUACGGGAGGCAGCAGUGGGGGAUAUUGCACAAUGGGCGCAAGCCUGAUGCAGCGACGCCGCGUGAGGGAUGACGGCCUUCGGGUUGUAAACCUCUUUCAGUUGGGAAGAAGCCUUUCGGGGUGACGGUACCUUCAGAAGAAGCACCGGCUAACUACGUGCCAGCAGCAGC
This 499-nucleotide ribosomal RNA is filed under the name uncultured bacterium. RNAcentral describes it as "bacterial SSU rRNA". It matches the Rfam family "Bacterial small subunit ribosomal RNA", at positions 27 to 518 of the family's 1533-position model. The record is from RNAcentral.